This 702-nucleotide long non-coding RNA is filed under the name Apteryx rowi (Okarito brown kiwi). RNAcentral describes it as "lncRNA (ENSARWG00000000012.1)". Lineage: Eukaryota; Metazoa; Chordata; Aves; Apterygiformes; Apterygidae. The record is from RNAcentral.
AUGGCAGACAAGGAACUGUAUUCUGUCAGAAGUAAUGAAAACAUACAGGAAAUGAAAACUGGAAGAUGUUCAAUCUUCAUUCAAGGAAAACCAACUGAUUUAUCAGAUASCAACCUGAGCAGUGAUUCAGAAGACAUCUCAGCCUGUGAUUCUUAUAAUGAUUCACGAAGUGAGGAAUUUCUGAACCAUGAGACUGAAAAUUACAAGACAUUCAAUACAAGAUUACAUGGAGAGAGAAAAGGAAUUAGACACAGAUGCACUAGAGGAAGCAAAAAUCAAUUUAAACUCAGGAAUUACAAAGAGUUUGCUCAGUCUUGUGCCCUAUGUAGAAAUAAAAAUUCCAGUUUAACUUCUUAUUCACAGAAGAGAAUCUACACUCAAAAGGCUUACAGAAGUAAUCAACCACAUCAACUUGUAAAUAGACUUUCUGAAAGGCAAAAGGUGGAGACUGCCAAAACCUGCUAUUCAAGCACGUAUGAUACAGUUACCCUUUCACCUCAAUACCUACCCAGAAAGACGACUCCUGGAAGCAAAUCGGCAGUCAACAUCAGAAGUAGAAAUGUGAGCGAUCCCAAUGCAAACAUUUUAAGUUCUACUCUGGAUCAUGCCAUACAGACAGCAAACAGUUUGAAGAAAACUACAGAACGAAUGGUACAAGCAGUUUCAGAAGAUCUAGCUAAAGUUAGAAGCAAACAGCUUUAA